UAACACUUAAAUACAUCAUAAAAUGAAACUAUUAAUAUAAAAAUUGUCCAACAAGCUAAUAAUAUCAAUAAAGCAAAUAUUCUACCCCAAGUGCAUAAUUUUAAUACAUUUCAAGAUAAUAAGUGUUGUUAACAAAAGAUUCCUAGAACACUCAUCUAUAGCAAUUCAAAAUUCAUCUUAAGUAAUGUCUAGAUCAUCACGGCCUUCAUCUUUCAUUUCUUGAUCUACUCCACCUACAAAAGAGGAUAAAUAAAGUCAUUACCCUUCAAGAGAAUCUGGUCGAAGAAUGCUCAUAGGACACCGAAAGAUAUUGAAUGUCCGGACAAAAUAUAUGACACAAAAAAGAAAAAAAAAAGAAAAGAAAAAACUGGACAUACAAAAUGCUAGUCAUGAGCCUAGCUUUUCUACAGAUAAACACAUUAUGUAGAGCCAAAUUUAGAUAUCAAAUGUGCAUGCAAGCUGCUAAAAAGAAUUACGUAGCAUAUGUGACUGACUCUUCCGAGCAGAAGUUUAGAGAGGAAUAAGCAAAAUCCAUUAAAAUAGAGAGUGUUACAAGCAUACCAGAUCAAGAUGAUUUGAUAGGAACCUAUGGAAAAUAGCAAUG
Molecule: long non-coding RNA, 604 nt
Filed under: Nicotiana benthamiana
Lineage: Eukaryota; Viridiplantae; Streptophyta; Magnoliopsida; Solanales; Solanaceae
Description: long non-coding RNA (NBEN_LNC019604)
Source: RNAcentral